AGAGUUUGAUCCUGGCUCAGGAUGAACGCUGGCGGCGUGCCUUAGGCAUGCAAGUCGAACGGUUGAGGUCGCAAGACCAAGACAGUGGCAGACGGGUGAGUAACGCGUAGGAAUCUACCUCUGGGUAAGGCAUAGCCGGCCGAAAGGUCGGGUAAUACCUUAUAGUUCUCGUAAGAGUAAAGGACUUAACGGUCCGCCGA
This 200-nucleotide ribosomal RNA is filed under the name uncultured bacterium. RNAcentral describes it as "partial 16S ribosomal RNA". It matches the Rfam family "Bacterial small subunit ribosomal RNA", at positions 8 to 221 of the family's 1533-position model. The record is from RNAcentral.